RNAcentral lists this transfer RNA (64 nucleotides) under Trioza anthrisci. RNAcentral describes it as "tRNA-Leu". The record is from RNAcentral. Lineage: Eukaryota; Metazoa; Arthropoda; Insecta; Hemiptera; Triozidae.
CUAUUUUGACAGAACUAAUGUGUUAAGCUUAGAAUUUAUUUAUGUAAUUUAUUACAAAUAGAAA